This 7387-nucleotide long non-coding RNA is filed under the name Homo sapiens (human). Its description in RNAcentral is "HSALNT0351564". Lineage: Eukaryota; Metazoa; Chordata; Mammalia; Primates; Hominidae. The record is from RNAcentral.
CUCUUGCCUGCUGCCACGUAAGAGGUGACUUUGCUGCUCCUCCGCCUUCCACCAUGAUUGUGAGGCCUCCCCAGCCAUGUGGAACUAUCUUUGCAUGUUCUGUCCAGCAAGUUCUCUCUCCAUGAAGACCAUACCACCUAAAGUGACCCCAUCUCAGUCUGUCUGUUGGUAGACCUCCUGCAAUCAACUGAAGGCCUGAAUAAAACAAAAGACUGGCCUCCUCCCAAGCAAGAGUGAAAAUUUGACAUAUCCCCAGACUGGACUGAGUGAGCUGCUUUAGGAAGCUGUAUGUUUUUGGAAUUUAAUUCAAAUUUAAAUGAGGUUUCCUGCAUGUUUGGACAUUAUACCUCAGAGCCGUGGGUGCCAGAGCCCUGUCCUAUGAAUGUGUCUCUUCUGAAAAUUGCUCUAGGGAUUGGUUUUACUGAUUGGACAAAAAAUAUUUUGAACCAAUUAUAACAAAAUAGCUCAUUUCUCUUUUAUAUACAUCAUGCAAUGUCUUCACAAUCAGAUUAUGAGAUCUCUAAUUACAGAAGAGGAUUUUUAUAUUUCCUACUAGCAAACAUUUGUCCACAAAAGUUAUGAAAAACAGCUGUUAUCUGGAAUGUGGCUUGAAAUAUAUCCUGUUACUCUAAAAUGGUAUUGAUAUGAUUUAUAGUUGUCCUAUUGCAGCGAUUUUAUAAGAACUCAAUCCACAGCUCUUCUAACAUGUCUUGACAGCUUUAUUGAGAUACAAUUUACACAUUAAAAAACUGCAUGCAUUUAAUAUGUACAAUUUGAAUAUUUUUGGCAUAUCUAUGCCCAUAGGAAUUUAUCAUCUACAACCAAGAAAAUCAACAUCUCCAUCAGUCCCCUAAAUUUUCUUCUGUCCCUAUGUAAUCCCUCUUCCUACCUGCCAUCACUAGGUGGUAUGGGCUAAAUUGUGCACUGCCCAUCCCCUCCCCUCCCAUUUUAUAUGUUGAAGUCCUAAUCCCUAGCACCUCAAAACAUGACUGUGUUUGGAAACAGGCCUUCAAAGAGGUGAUUAAGCUACAACAAGGCUGUUAGGAUGAACCCUAAUCUGAUCUGACUGGUGUUCCUAUAAGAAAAGAAAAUUAAGACACACAAAGAGAUACCAGGGUAUAUUUACACAUAGAGGAGACCGCGUGAGGUACAAAGAGAGAAGGCAGCCAUCUGCAAGCUAACAAAAGAAAUCUCAGAAUGAAAUCAACCCACCAACACCUGAUUUCAGACUUCUAGCUUCUGAAACUGAGAGAAAAUAUCUGUUGUUUAAACCAUCAGUCUGUGGUACUUUCUUAGAGCAGCCCUAGCAAACUAUCAUACCAGGCAACCACUGACUAGCCUUCUGUCACUAUAGAUUAGAUUGUAUUUUCUGGAAUUUUAUAUAAAUGUACUCUUUUGGUCUGGCUUGUUUCAUUCAGUAUAAGUUAUUUGAGAUCCAUCCAUGUUGGGUUGUAUCAAUAAUUCAUUCCUUUUUAUUAUUAAUAUUUUGUUGAAUGGAUAUACCACAGUUUAUUCAUCCAUUUAUUUGUUACUGGACAUUUAGGUUGUUUUCUGGUUGAACUGUUACAAAUCAAGCUUCUAUGGACAUUUAUUUACAAGUCUUUUAUGAAUAUGUGCUUUCUUUGAUCUUGGGUAAAUAUCCAAGGUUGGAAUGGCUGGGUCAUAUGAUAGGAGUAUGCUAACCUCUUUAAGAAACUGCUAAACUAUUUUCCAAAAAUUGUACCAUUUUACAUUCCCACCAGCAGUCUUUGAGAGCUCCAGUUGCUCCGUAUCUUUGCCUAAAACUAGUAUGGUCCAUCUUUUUUAAUGUAAUUGUUCUAAUAGGUAUAUAACAGUAUGCUAUUGUGCUUUUUAAAUUUGCAUUGUAUUAUGACAGUGGUAUUGAUGAUCAUCUUUUCAUUGCUUAUUUACCGAAGUACAUCUUUUUUGGUAAAGUGUUUACAUUUUUGCAUUCUUUUUUGAGUUGUUUUUUUAUUACUGAGUUUUGCAGUUUUUAAGUAUAUUCUGAACCCAAGUUCUUAAUCAAAUAAAUGACUUGAAAAUAUACUCAGUCUUUUUAUUCUCUCACUAGAGUCUUUUACAGAAUAGACAUUUUUCAUUUUAAUUAAGUCUAUUUAUCAAUUUAUUAUUUUAUGGAUCAUUUGGUAUUGCAUUUGGAAAAAUCUUUGCCUAACCGAAGGUCAAAAUUCUUCUCUUACAUUUUCUUCUAGAAUUUUUAAAGUUUUAAGAUUUGAAUUUAGGUUUCUAAUCCAUUUUGAAUUGGCGUUUUUGUACUACAUUUUUUUUCCUUCACCUCUAUAUGUAGAAUCAAUUAAGGUAAUAAUAGUUUCUAUCUGAAAUGUCCUGCUAACACACUUACCUAUUUCAAUACUCAUUCUACCUUCCCGUCUCCCUGCAUUUUGUUUUUUUUUUUUACAUCCUUUCACCCAGGCUUUAGCUCCCAUCUCCUUCUAAGUCCUCACGCCCUUGCUGUGUCUAUGAUACUAAUGUGAUUCAGACCAUUUCUCUCCCAGUUUCUUUCCUUCAUAUAUAUGCAAUUUUAAGUCUUUCUUAUUUAAAAUAAUAAUAAUAAUAAUAAUAAUGCUUUUUGAAGCUGCAUAGCUUUCUAACUACAUAACAUUAACUUGCUUUGUUCUUUUCCUAUAAAACUAUUCUCUUGAAAGAAUUAUAUAUUCUCUCAUUUCUCUCUCUUCCAACCAACACUGCCAGGUUUCUGGCCCAGUCAUCGCACUGACACUAUUCUUACCAUCAACACUUGUGAUUUCCCUUUGCCACUUAUACAGAUCCCAUUUCAGCAUUCAUCACACAGGUCUCCCUGGGAGGCAUUUACACUGUGGAUCUCUGUAACUGGAAGGCAUUUCCAAAGCUUGUCUGAGUCUUCCACAUUGUCUCUCCUCUUUCUCUCUGUUACUUGAGACAUGUUUUCUCCAUAUUUUCUCUUCUCAUUCUAUACAUUCCACUGGUGACCACACAUAAAAUCAAGGAAUCAAAUGCCACCUUUGAAAAAUGAAUCUCCUAAGUAGAUUUCUGGUCCAGACUUAUUUACCCAGACCAUCAACUUUCUGUUGUAUAUUUCCAAUAGCAAUGUCAAGUGCAAUACGUGACAAACAUAAUGCCAUUCUUCUUUCACCUAAACACAGGGGUCUUUCAUACUUCCUGUGGGGGUAGACGGCACAUCAUUAACCCUGUCACCUAACCACUGUCCCCUCCAUUCCCAAUGAAAAAUAACCCAGAUAUUUCAGUUACAUCUCCUACAUAUGUCUCCAAUCUAUGCUUUCUCUUCAUAUCCACUGCUUCUCUCCUUAGUAUAUCUCAUCUAAAAUUCUGGAAUAGACUUCAGAUGGACCUGCAGAUUCUAAUUCUUACCCUCUCAACAUUCGACUUGUAUAUUGAUGCAUGAGUAAAGUUUCUGAAACACAAAUAUGUUUAGGGGAAUCCCAUGUAGAUCAUAUAUUUAGGCAACUCUAAUACAGAAAAAAUUGAACCCAUUCUCAUGUAACAUUCAGAUUGUUGUCUUUCUCUCACAUCUCAUCACUAACAACUGCUCUACACAAAAUCUGAGAUCUAGCAAUAGCUAGCUUCAUAUAGUUUCCUGAGCAUGGAAUAUUGAUACAACUUCCAGGCCUCAGAUGAGUGGACAAAAUUAAACUCACAAGGCAGUAAUGGCAUUCAAUCCCUGAAAAUUUCGCUGCUCUUUCUAAAAAGGUAAAAUAUAUUCUGCCUAUUAUAAAGUAAAUGCUGACCUUCCUAUUUUGUUUCUUUUCCUUUACGCUAAUGGAAAAUAACUUUAUGAUUUAAAAUAUAAUUUAUUGUACUUAUAAUAAUUUGUUUUGACUUGAUGGUUAAUGCUUGGGCAUAACUUAAAAUUAGAAUAAAAUGUAUAAAUGUAAAAGAAUCAUUUAUGUACUAUAAAUCAUUGAUAUGAUAUUCUCAAAGUACUUUGUGAAAAGCACAUUAAGAAGUAUGGAUCCUAAUGCAUAGGUAAGAAAACACAGAGAUAGGUUAAAGAGCUAAAAUAUCAUAAAUCCCAACCUGUCUUACUUCCCAUUAUUUUUAUCUGCCUGAUAUUAAAGAUCCUUCUUAUCAUAAAAUUAUCUGCAAGGAAAUGAAACAUUGAGUUCAGUACUGAUGAGUCUUGAAAAAAAGAAACAGAAUAAAAAUUCACACACUAUCUUUUCCAUUUCACUUAGUGUCCUGAAGCCAAACAGGAGUAUUCCCUAGAAUUACUUGUAAAAACAUUAGAACAGGGUGCAAACCUGGAUUCUACUGCUUGCUAGUUGUGUGACUUUAGGCAGAUCAUUCACCUCUGACUAUAAACUCACUUAAGAAGGGCCACAGUAAGAGCUAGUCCUCUUUAGUAAAAGAAUUUAAUGAAAUAUAUGUGUGAAUCAGAAUAGGCUGGGCUAUGGAUUAAAGCUGUAAGUUUUAUUUCCCUCUCAUGCUCCAGAUCUGUCUUGGCUGGGCAGCUGAGGUUUCAGCUUCAUAUUACCUUCUCUUCAUGACACAGCCUCACAUACCAUCCACAUCUACAAUGCUGCCACUCUGCCAAGAAGGAAAUGAGAACAUGGUGUGUUGUAUGUUGACUUUUAAAGCUUCCACAUAGAAGUAACACAUGUCACUUCUGCUCAUAUUUCAUUGAUCAUAUUUCAGGAGGAAGGAGAAUUAUAUUCCUACCAUGUGCUCCAGGAUAUAUCCAGAAACAUUUAUCUGUAUCAAUGUUUAUAUUAAUAUUUCAUUUUGGCACACUCAACGGUAGUGAAUGGAUAAUAAUAGCUCACUGUACUGAGGGCUUACUCUGUUCAGGGCACUUUGGUAAGGGCUUUGCUUCCAUGAUUUGAUUUAAUUUAAUUCUCAUAUUGGCCCAUAAGGCAAGUGACUUGAUCUGCCAGACAUUAUUUGUCCUUCUAAUAUUCAUUUCUCUGUUUGUUUGCUUUUUUUUAUGACUAACAGAACUGAGAUUUCAUUUGAGAUGACCGUGUUUAAACCUCACAUUGUUCUUAAAGCUGUAGAGAAGGAGGUGAAAAACUUCUGGCCAAACUAUGGUAUGUGGAAUUCCACAAAGAGAGCACCCCUUCUUAAAAGAAAAGAUAAAUGAGGCAGAAGGCAGAAAUAAUAUUAAGAGAUAACAAAGCCAUUUAGAGACAAUAAGGUAAAAACCAUGGAGGUGGGAAGGUAGUCGUGGUAACACUGACCAUGACAUCAGCAUAUGGCUGAUCAGAUACCAGCAGUCUGUUGCCUCUCACCUUCCUGUCCUGAGAGCUAAAUAAGCUUGCUCUUUUUGAGCUGAAUUUUAAAGGGUGUUCUCUUAUUUUAAUGUACAUCUUUCUUACCAGAUAUAAUUUAUAUAUGCAUGAGUUAAUAACAAACCAAAAUAAGUCAUACACAUGUUAGAUAUACUGACCAACAUAACAAGAUCAAUUAAUGCCAGAGCUUUAGAACUUGGAUUUAUAAUGGCCUGACUCUAAAAUUUUGGUGAUUAACAAAGGACUAUAAAAUUUCCUGAAUAUUCAAUCAAUUCUAAACAGUUCAGAGUCAAAUCCUAGACACUUGAUAAUUCAAAACGUGAUAAUUGUCAUUAAUAUAAUUUUGGUAUCACAAAGGAACUCAGCAAUUCUUGAUGUUUAUAAACAGAGUUUGUAAAAAAACAAUGCUUCAGUUCAGUGGUAUCAAAGUUUUAUAAUUAAUGUAAGUUGGCAGUGUGAUUUUAAUGCUUCGAUAUAUUUUUCAAUGAAAGACUAAUGAUAUGAGUGAAUAUAGGGUAACCAAUACCUUCAUUACACCUCAGUUCUUUCACAUAUGAAUCGGAGUGGUUGAUUAGGUAAUACUCAUUACUUUCUAGUCUGUGUAAUCUAUGAUUUUACUGUGGUGAUGAAAGCAGGUGCGUUUUAGAAAUCUAUCCAUUCUUUUCAUAGUAGCCAUAUAGAGCAACUGGUACCUACUUGUUUUAAUAUCUAUCUUCUCUAGGGCUGAAAAUCUCAUGAGGGUAUGGCCAUGCCUGUCUUGAUUACUCUAUGCUUCUCGAAUUUAACAGAGGAUCUGCUCAAAAUAUAUUAAUUGGUGAGAAGAAUGUUAAAUAUCAUUCUUCUUGGAAAAAGGGGCAGAAAACUUAAGAAAAAAAGCAUCACUUUGAAUUCAGCAGAGCAACUUGUAUUCAUUCUUUACUUUGUAACAGUGUGAACAUUACAAGAGACAAAACUAAGUUUAAAGAUAUAAAAAUAGUUUCUCUCUACUUAUAGAUUUUUUUAAAUUAUUGAUCUUGUGUUAUUGUGUGUUCCUAGUCUCAGAAAGUAAUGAAAAUAAUAGUAAAUAUUAACCUUCAGAAAUUGAUUUUUUUCUGGAUUGAGAGUAGAUCAACCUAUUUGAUAACAUUGUGUUGAUGAUAAAUAGCUUCUAAAAGUUGAGUGGUUUAGCAAAAUAAAAGUUAUUGAACAUUUGCUCAUGUCACAAUCUUGUAUGUGUCUUAUUCAGUAGAAUGGACUUCCUCCCUGAAGUAAUCCUGGGAUCUAGGUUCCUUCCAUAUCUGGUUGUGCUAUCUCCUUGGCCUCAUCUCCAUCUGUAACUAUGUGGCACAGAAAAAGUAUGAGGGAGAUUGUGUCACAGUACUUUAUGGUCCAAACAGGUAAAGUUUCAUAUUACUAGCACAAAGACUCACUAGUAAGAACUCACAUAUAUGGCCUCAUCUAACAGCAAGGUAGACUGGGAAAUGUAGACUUACUGUUAAUCCAAGGGAGGGGAUAAAAAUUUUCAGUAGAACUAUUGGUUUUUGCUACUCUUGAAUUAAUAAUUCUGUAAUUUGCAAUUCUAUGGGGAAUAAUAUAGACCACACAUCUAUCCUUAUAUAUUUACUCUGAUCUUUUCGACUGCCCCUCAACCAUCACUAAGCAUUGGCUGUUUUAUUUUGAUGACGUUAAGGUUUGUAAAAAUAAAUUGAACCCAUUUUGGAAAUUUCACUGUGGAAGCUGCCAGUGACAUUAUUUAAGCUCCUUGCAUCACAUAUUCUUACUUCCUUAAAAAUCUCAUCCGUGGAAGAUUCUGUGAUGCUAAUUCAAUCUCAGCCUCUGUACUAAUUCACAUUAUUUCCAUUAGAAGUUCCAUUCAUAACAGAAACUGGAUAAGCAUAUAAAACACAGAAUUGGAAAGACAUUUAAAUUAAAUGUAAUGAGUCAGUGGCUUCUGUAUUCCCUUUAUUAUAUACAAAUGCCAAAUGAAACUUUCAGUAAUGCCUAAUGGCCAUUGUUGGGUUUCAUGAUCAUUUCACGUUUGCUCAAAAGUCAAUUGAAAUAAUUGCCUUGGUUAAAAUAAUUGAAAGUCAUCUGUAAAGUCAAACUGAUUUACUGUGUGUGUAUUUUCUCUCUACAAACAAGUACCUGCAAAUAAUUUUCAAAUA